This 462-nucleotide ribosomal RNA is filed under the name uncultured bacterium. RNAcentral's name for it is "partial 16S ribosomal RNA". It matches the Rfam family "Bacterial small subunit ribosomal RNA", at positions 28 to 507 of the family's 1533-position model. The record is from RNAcentral.
GACGAACGCUGGCGGCGUGCUUAACACAUGCAAGUCGAGCGGUAAGGCCUUUCGGGGUACACGAGCGGCGAACGGGUGAGUAACACGUGGGUGAUCUGCCCUGCACUUCGGGAUAAGCCUGGGAAACUGGGUCUAAUACCGGAUAUGACCUCCUAUCGCCUUGUGGGUGGGGGGAAGAUUUUUCGGUGCGGGAUGGGCCCGCGGCCUAUAAGCUUGUUGGUGGGGUAUUGGCCUCCCAAGGCGACGACGGGGAGCCGACCUGGGAGGGUGACCGGCCACACUGGGACUGAGACACGGCCCAGACUCCUCCGGGAGGCAGCAGUGGGGAAUAUUGCACAAUGGGCGAAAGCCUGAUGCAGCGACGCCGCGUGAGGGAUGACGGCCUUCGGGUUGUAAACCUCUUUCACCAGGGACGAAGCGCAAGUGACGGUACCUGCAGAAGAAGCACCGGCUAACUACGUG